This 579-nucleotide long non-coding RNA is filed under the name Ananas comosus (pineapple). Its description in RNAcentral is "long non-coding RNA (ACOM_LNC021765)". The record is from RNAcentral. Lineage: Eukaryota; Viridiplantae; Streptophyta; Magnoliopsida; Poales; Bromeliaceae.
AGGCCAUCUCUAGAUGAAAUUAAUCGCGAUCUUUAAAAGUUUACUAAACUUUUAUAUAAUUCUCGUGAUAUGAGUUGCUGUAUGUAUAUAUAUAUAUAUAGAGCUAAGCUGGUAUAUUAUCGGUAGCACGGAGGCCUCCGUGCUACCAAGUUGUUUUCAAUGAUGCGGCUUCUAAAUCGACGAUCGGCUCCGUUAGACUUGAUCUACAUUAUUGAAAGUAUUUGGAAACUAAAUUUCAUGAUUUUUCGGCGUCAUUUACCAAUCAAACGAGUAGUUUAAAAAUGAACGGCUGAAAAUAAAAAUCUCAUAAAAAAUAAUGAUAAAGAAUUCAAAUUUCAAAUCGGAAGUAUUGGUCUUGCUAUUGAUGUUAAGUAGAAAUUUCUAUUAAAUUUUCAUCUAAUUUGGAUACUUCUAUACCGUUGAACUUAAAAACGCAUCAUAUCUACCAUUAAAAUUGUUAAUUUUGGAACCUUUUGAUCACUAGCCGAAUGAUGUCGAAAAAUUAUUAGUUUCCAAAUACUUUUAAUAGUGUAGAUCAAGUCUAAUAGAGCCGAUCGUCGAUUUGAAAGCCGCAUAAUU